GACGAACGCUGGCGGCGUGCUUAACACAUGCAAGUCGAACGGAAAGGCCCUGCUUUUGUGGGGUGCUCGAGUGGCGAACGGGUGAGUAACACGUGAGUAACCUGCCCUUGACUUUGGGAUAACUUCAGGAAACUGGGGCUAAUACCGGAUAGGAGCUCCUGCUGCAUGGUGGGGGUUGGAAAGUUUCGGCGGUUGGGGAUGGACUCGCGGCUUAUCAGCUUGUUGGUGGGGUAGUGGCUUACCAAGGCUUUGACGGGUAGCCGGCCUGAGAGGGUGACCGGCCACAUUGGGACUGAGAUACGGCCCAGACUCCUACGGGGGGCAGCAGUGGGAAUAUUGCACAAUGGGCGGAAGCCUGAUGCAGUAACGCCGCGUGCGGGAUGACGGCCUUCGGGUUGUAAACCGCUUUCGCCUGUGACGAAGCGUGAGUGACGGUAAUGGGUAAAGAAGCACCGGCUAACUACGUGCCAGCAGCCGCGGCGAUACGUAGGGUGCGAGCGUUGUCCGGAUUUAUUGGGCGUAAAGGGCUCGUAGGUGGUUGAUCGCGUCGGAAGUGUAAUCUUGGGGCUUAACCCUGAGCGUGCUUUCGAUACGGGUUGACUUGAGGAAGGUAGGGGAGAAUGGAAUUCCUGGUGGAGCGGUGGAAUGCGCAGAUAUCAGGAGGAACACCAGUGGCGAAGGCGGUUCUCUGGGCCUUUCCUGACGCUGAGGAGCGAAAGCGUGGGGAGCGAACAGGCUUAGAUACCCUGGUAGUCCACGCUGUAAACGGUGGGUACUAAGUGUGGGGUCCAUUCCACGGGUUCCGUGCCGUAGCUAACGCUUUAAGUACCCCGCCUGGGGAGUACGGCCGCAAGGCUAAAACUCAAAGGAAUUGACGGGGCCCCGCACAAGCGGCGGAGCAUGCGGAUUAAUUCGAUGCAACGCGUAGAACCUUACCUGGGUUUGACAUGGAUCGGGAGUGCUCAGAGAUGGGUGUGCCUCUUUUGGGGUCGGUUCACAGGUGGUGCAUGGCUGUCGUCAGCUCGUGUCGUGAGAUGUUGGGUUAAGUCCCGCAACGAGCGCAACCCUUGUUCACUGUUGCCAGCACGUUAUGGUGGGGACUCAGUGGAGACCGCCGGGGUCAACUCGGAGGAAGGUGGGGAUGACGUCAAGUCAUCAUGCCCCUUAUGUCCAGGGCUUCACGCAUGCUACAAUGGCUGGUACAGGGAGUGGCGAGCCUGUGAGGGUGAGCGAAUCUCGGAAAGCCGGUCUCAGUUCGGAUUGGGGUCUGCAACUCGACCUCAUGAAGUCGGAGUCGCUAGUAAUCGCAGAUCAGCAACGCUGCGGUGAAUACGUUCCCGGGGCUUGUACACACCGCCCGUCAAGUCAUGAAAGUUGGUAACACCCGAAGCCGGUGGCCUAACCGUUGUGGGGGAGCCGUCGAAGGUGGGACUGGUGAUUAGGACUAAGUCGUAACAAGGUAGCCGUACCGGA
RNAcentral lists this ribosomal RNA (1473 nucleotides) under uncultured bacterium. RNAcentral describes it as "16S ribosomal RNA". It matches the Rfam family "Bacterial small subunit ribosomal RNA". The record is from RNAcentral.